UGCAAGGGGAGCGGCUUUUGGCCGCUGAGAAAAGGAAAGCUUGACCCUCAUUACCUGAUCCGGAUCAUGCCGGCGUAGGAAGGC
RNAcentral lists this non-coding RNA (84 nucleotides) under Candidatus Heritagella caecorum. Its description in RNAcentral is "TPP riboswitch (THI element)". It matches the Rfam family "TPP riboswitch aptamer (THI element)", at positions 8 to 91 of the family's 105-position model. From Rfam's summary of the family: Vitamin B(1) in its active form thiamin pyrophosphate (TPP) is an essential coenzyme that is synthesised by coupling of pyrimidine and thiazole moieties in bacteria. The previously detected thiamin-regulatory element, thi box was extended, resulting in a new, highly conserved RNA secondary structure, the THI element, which is widely distributed in eubacteria and also occurs in some archaea. Lineage: Bacteria; Bacillati; Bacillota; Clostridia. The record is from RNAcentral.